RNAcentral lists this ribosomal RNA (435 nucleotides) under uncultured bacterium. RNAcentral's name for it is "partial 16S ribosomal RNA". It matches the Rfam family "Bacterial small subunit ribosomal RNA", at positions 28 to 507 of the family's 1533-position model. The record is from RNAcentral.
GAUGAACGCUGGCGGUAUGCUUAACACAUGCAAGUCGAACGGACUCUUCGGAGUUAGUGUCGGACGGGUGAGUAACGCGUGAGAAUCUGGCUUUGGGUUCGGGACAACCACUGGAAACGGUGGCUAAUACCGGAUGUGCCGAGAGGUAAAAGAGAAAUUGCCUGAAGAUGAGCUCGCGUCUGAUUAGCUAGUUGGUGAGGUAAAGGCUCACCAAGGCAGCGAUCAGUAGCUGGUCUGAGAGGAUGACCAGCCACACUGGGACUGAGACACGGCCCAGACUCCUACGGGAGGCAGCAGUGGGGAAUUUUCCGCAAUGGGCGAAAGCCUGACGGAGCAAUACCGCGUGAGGGAAGAAGGCUCUUGGGUUGUAAACCUCUUUUCUUAGGGAAGAACAAAAUGACGGUACCUAAGGAAUCAGCAUCGGCUAACUCCGUG